This 385-nucleotide ribosomal RNA is filed under the name uncultured bacterium. RNAcentral's name for it is "bacterial SSU rRNA". It matches the Rfam family "Bacterial small subunit ribosomal RNA", at positions 30 to 419 of the family's 1533-position model. The record is from RNAcentral.
AUUGAACGCUAGCGGAAUGCUUUACACAUGCAAGUCGAACGGUAGAGGGGGCAACCCCUUGAGAGUGGCGAACGGGUGAGUAAUAUAUCGGAACGUGCCCAGUCGUGGGGAUAACGUAGCGAAAGCUACGCUAAUACCGCAUACGAUCUAUGGAUGAAAGCGGGGGAUCGCAAGACCUCGCGCGAUUGGAGCGGCCGAUAUCAGAUUAGGUAGUUGGUGAGGUAAAGGCUCACCAAGCCGACGAUCUGUAGCUGGUCUGAGAGGACGACCAGCCACACUGGGACUGAGACACGGCCCAGACUCCUACGGGAGGCAGCAGUGGGGAAGUUUUGGACAAUGGGCGCAAGCCUGAUCCAGCAAUGCCGCGUGCAGGAUGAAGGCCUUC